UGGCUUCCGGAGCUAACGCGUUAAGUAGACCGCCUGGGGAGUACGGCCGCAAGGUUAAAACUCAAAUGAAUUGACGGGGGCCCGCACAAGCGGUGGAGCAUGUGGUUUAAUUCGAUGCAACGCGAAGAACCUUACCUGGUCUUGACAUCCACAGAACUUUCCAGAGAUGGAUUGGUGCCUUCGGGAACUGUGAGACAGGUGCUGCAUGGCUGUCGUCAGCUCGUGUUGUGAAAUGUUGGGUUAAGUCCCGCAACGAGCGCAACCCUUAUCCUUUGUUGCCAGCGGUCCGGCCGGGAACUCAAAGGAGACUGCCAGUGAUAAACUGGAGGAAGGUGGGGAUGACGUCAAGUCAUCAUGGCCCUUACGACCAGGGCUACACACGUGCUACAAUGGCGCAUACAAAGAGAAGCGACCUCGCGAGAGCAAGCGGACCUCAUAAAGUGCGUCGUAGUCCGGAUUGGAGUCUGCAACUCGACUCCAUGAAGUCGGAAUCGCUAGUAAUCGUGGAUCAGAAUGCCACGGUGAAUACGUUCCCGGGCCUUGUACACACCGCCCGUCACACCAUGGGAGUGGGUUGCAAAAGAAGUAGGUAGCUUAACCUUCGGGAGGGCGCUUACCACUUUGUGAUUCAUGACUGGGGUGAAGUCGUAACAAGGUAACCGUAGGGGAACCUGCGGUUGGAUCACCUCCUUACCUUAAAGAAGC
Molecule: ribosomal RNA, 705 nt
Filed under: Salmonella enterica subsp. enterica serovar Stanley
Lineage: Bacteria; Pseudomonadati; Pseudomonadota; Gammaproteobacteria; Enterobacterales; Enterobacteriaceae
Description: bacterial SSU rRNA
Rfam family: Bacterial small subunit ribosomal RNA
Source: RNAcentral